AACAAGAUUUUUUUUAUUGAACCAACAAACUACCAAAGCAUACAGUACGCUACCAGGUAGGGCUGGGAAAGAUCUUGGAGAGCCGCUGCCAGUAGGAGUAGACAAUACUGAGCUAAAUGGACUAAUGGUCCGACUCUGUAUAAGGCAGCUUCCUAUGUUCCUAAAGUAGAUAGCGGACAGUGGCAGCGCUGAGAGAGGGGGGAGUAACCUUUUCAUUGCGGGACCGUUUUGGCGAUCAGAGAGAGCCGGCUCAAAGGAGCCCUGGCCAUAUUGGCAAAAAAGGGGACAUCCUAGGUUUGGGGGCAGCAGGCGCCUCGGAUGCUCUCCGUCCCCCAGGCAGCCGCCUGCCGCCUGCACUGCCGUCGCCGCUGCAGUGAGCGCCUGGGCACCCCCACGGGGAUGCCCUCAGCCUGCCCUGAGAGGAGAGCUGCCUGCCCUGCCUCCCGCUGCAGUGAGCAGCCACUCCUGCCUCUCCAGUCUGCUUCUUUCAGCCCCCACCCCAUACUGCACCUACAUGUGGGCAUCCCGUCACACAGCCGGGCUGAGGCGCGCGAAAAGGGAGGAGAGGAGAAGGCGCGAGAGAGCCGAGUUGAAGAAGCCCGGCACCUCCACGACGAAGGAGCCAGCGAGGCACAUCACGGACCUGCUGCCGCUUCCUGGCCUGAUUUCGUUGCAAUAAAAUUGUUGAGACAAAACGGGAGCCAGCCAGGCAGCGUGGGAAGGAGUGGAGGAGAAGGCGCAAAGGAGCAGAUUUCUUCACACACAGCUUGGCCCACUGGCCAAAGCUGUUCAAACAUUUUAUUGAAGUUAACCCCUUGUCCCCUGACCAAACAGGUGAGCGAUGAGUCAGAGAAAGCAACCAUCAGGAGCAAAAAAAAUCUGAAGAGAAAAGCCAAAAAGGAAUCUGCCAUGGAAAAAUAUAAAGGUAGCCUCACAAAAAAUUUCUAAAAGAGCAACCGGAGCAGAAGCAUCCACCAGUCAAACAGCAAUGAACUGGACAUCAGUAGAUGUAAAGAAUGAUGGAAGCAGUCCAAAAAGAGUAGCUGUAGAAUGUGAGAAGGCCAUUGAGAAUGUCUCCAGCGAGAAUAUUUCACAUGAAGAAAGUGAUGCACCUGACUUGAAUUCAACUCCACAAAUAACAGUUGAGUAUUCUGAUAUCGCAAAGUGGCCGGAAAAUACGCAGUCUAUAACUGAUCUGCUGGUUAGAGUAGGUCCCGUGCAAGUAAUAGAUCAUGCAUUUCCCGUAACCAUUGAAGUUGGAAGAAAGAGAAGAUUUAAUGCAGCAAGCUAUUAUCGAAUGCUUCCAAAAGGGGGGAGAGUACAAGCGUGACUGGCUUGUAUAUUCAAAAUCUGCAGAUGCUGUGUUCUGUUUUUGUUGCAAAUUGUUUUCAAAGAAAAGCAGCAGACUUAACCAUGAUGGCGUCAACGAUUUGGAAAAUGUAGGUACUAGAUUAAAUGUUCAUGAAAGAGGUGCUGACCACCUGAGUUGUUUAAGAACACGGAAUGAUUUAAUUAAGCGACUGAAUCACAGUUCAACAAGAGAUGACAUCCAGCAAAAACAAAUUGAUUAAAAUACCAGGCAUUGGGGAAGCGUUCUAGAACAUCUGUUUUCUAUAAUAAGAUUGCAUUGUUCUCAAAAUAUUGUCUUGCAAGGAACAUCAGAUCAAUUAUACAAGGAUGACAAUGGAAAUUGGUUAAAAAUUGUGGAGCUACUGGCAACGUUUGAUCCAGUGAUGAAAGAACACAUAAGAAGAAUUGCAAAUAAAGAAACUUACCAGCACUACCUAGGAAAAAACAUACAAAAUGAAAUUAUUCAAAUACUAACUAAAGCUGUUAAAGAACAAAUUGUAAAAAAAUUGAAAGCCAGCAAAUAUUAUUUUAUCAUUGUCGAUUGUACUCCAGAGCUCUCGCACACUGAACAGAAGUCAUUGAUAGUAUGCUAUAUUUCCAUUGUGCCUAAAGAUGGGAAUCCUUUGGAAAUCUGUGAGCAUUUUUUGGGAUACAUCAAUAUUGACGAUAGUACCGGUGCAGGAAUGACUCAGAAAAUUCUAGAAAUCUUAAAAGCAAAUGAAAUAUCAUUGUCUUAUUUAAGAGGACAAGGCUAUGACAAUGGCUCCAAUAUGCAAGGCAAACACAGUGGGGUACAAAGUCAAUUUUCAGCAACAUAUCCAUGAGCGUUUCUUGUCCCUUGUUCCUCACACACAUUAAAAUGAGUAGUCAAUGAUGCAGCCAGGUGUUGCAUAGAAGCUGUCACUUUUUUGAUAUUGUGCAACACCUUUACAUUUUUUUCUCAUCGUCUACACAACAAUGGGACAUACUUAAACAAAAUGCAAAAGGCUUGGCAUUGAAGGGACUUAGUGAGAUUGGAUGAGCCUGUCGCAUAGAUCAGGAAUUCUCAACAUUGGGUCCCCAGAUGUUUUUGGACUUCACCUCCCAUAAUCCCCAGCCCCAGUGGCCUUUGGUUGAGGAUUAUGGGAGUUGAAGUCCAAUAAUAUCUGGAGACCCAACGUUGAGAAUCCUUGGCAUAGAUGCAUUGAACCCCUUGAGACAUCAACUUAAGGAAAUAAUACAGGCAUUAAACAGCUUUGGGGACAAACGAAUGUAACAUCAGUAAGCUGCAAAAAACAUGUUGGAGGCAAAUGCUCUAUUACAGAAAAUUGGAAGUUUCAAAUUUAUCUGCUGCCUGAUUGUUUGGUGUGACAUUUUAAGUUAAUAAACAUCACAAGCAAGGCUCUUCAAGAGGUCAGUUUGAAUAUGUCAAAAGCUGUUUUUCUGCUUUCAAAAUCAAUGGAAUACCUUGAAAAUUACAGAACCAACCAGAGGCAUAGCAAGGUUGGAGGGGGCCCAGAGACAAGAUUUUAAAAUAGGCCCCUCACUGAUAUACACACACAAACACACUUCACAAUAUAUAGUGCACUCACACUCACAUCCCCAUUAUGAAUAGGGUGAAUAUUCAGUUCACAUUGAAUCUAGUUUUUUUACUCUCUGCUCCUGCCGAUCUCCAAGAGACUCAACAUAAUUCAUAGGGGGUGCAACAUGGGUGGGUGGUGAGUCAUGUGAUGUGCCUCUGGGGGGCCCCUCGAACCAGUGGGGCCCCAAGACGACUGCCUCCCCUUGCCUAAUGGUAGUUACGCCCCUGGAACCAACGAUAAAUUUAAAUGCAUACUAGAUGAUGCAAGAAAGCUUGCAAUCGAAUUGGAGAUAGAACCUGAAUUUGAGCAAACAAGAAUCCAUCGCCGAAAAAUAAUGUUUGAUUAUGAACAACAUGGGGACGAAGUUGGAAUGUCAGAGGAGGACAAUUCUAUGAUUAAUUUUGUCAACAAUAUUCUGAACAAUGCCAUCCAAUCACUGAAAGACAAGUAUGAGUUGAUCGUAAAGCAUAAUCAAUUUAGUUUUCUAUACAAUUUGAACAAUGCAACAACAAUGCGUGGUGGUGAUGAGCUUCAUAAGAACUGUAUUACUUUAGAAAUUUUCCUUACAGAUGGUGAUGAGAAAGACAUCUCUGGCAUUGAUUUGUACAAGGAAUUAAAAUAUUGACGAAACCAUUUCAAGGGCAGUUACUCUCCAACGAAAAUCUUGGAAUUCAUACUUUCAAACAAUUUGACAGCAUCAUUCCCAAACUUAUUUGUGGCGCUGAGAAUUCUUUUAACAUUGCCAGUAUCAGUGGCCACCACAGAACGGAGCUUUUCAAAGCUGAAAUUAAUCAAAACUUACCUCCAUUCCACAAUGAAACAAGAUUGGUUAGAUGGGUUGGCAACCUUAUCAAUUGAACAUGCUAUUGCCAAGGUUCUAGAUCUGGAUGAAAUAAUCCAAAGAUUUAAACAUACAUUUUCAUGAAGAGGAAUACUUCAGAAAUUUUGAGCAAUGGAGAGACAAUGCUUAUAACUUGCAAAAUCUAACGCUUAAUAAAAUGAAAUUAUUGGAAAUGCUCUCUUCAGAGUGGUCAGAAACCCUUUGUGGUUUCAGUAUUACCAAUUGUCUUAUAUAUAAGUUAUUAUUGAAGUAUGACUCAGAAUCUAAACAGGUUAAAGGUUAAAUGGAUGCAAAAUUUAAAUAGGACUGUUGAUAUAUAGCAAUGGUAGUAGCAGUGGAAGAUAAACAUUAAAUUUACGCUGAAUAGCACAUUAAGAGAAAAAUGGUAUCAGAUGUAUUAUUGUUGGUAUGUUACUCCAGUGAUAAUUGCAAAAAUGGACAAGGCGUGUUCAGGAUUUUGUUGGGAAAGUAAAAAUCAAAUUACAACAUUGCUACUACAUACGAUAAAAUGUUCCAAAGCCCAACAAUUCUGGGAAAUGGUUCAUCUCAGGAUGCAACAAAUCCUGAAUUAUACUUUUCCUUUUUUACCAGUCAUUUUUAUGUUAAGUAUUACUAAAUAUUAUAUACCUGUAAAAUAUACUGAAUUGACGUUGUAUAUGAGGCACAGAAAGUGAGAUUUUGAGGGGAAAAUAUGAAUUAGUAGCCCCAUGUUUAACUUCUGUGUAUGUUAUAAAGUCUGUGAAUUUAAGUUAUUCAAUAUUGAAGUUAUUUUAGUAAAACGUACUGAAUGAAGUAAACAAUAAAAACAUAAUUUAUGGUUUUUAACAAAAAAGAAAAACUAUAUACAAAUGUAGGUUUGUACCAGAGCAAAAAUGGUCAAGGGCACCAUAACCCCUUGAGCUGGCAGGAUCAAAAGCAGGAGCUGCCUUUUCAAGCAUAAGAAAGUAAACUGCAUGGAAGUCGUCAGAUCCAUUUGGUCUAUGGCAUGUGGCUGUUUUCUUGUGCCCCCCGCCCCGUGGACUAUCUUUUUACACAUAGACACACCCCCCCCCGUGUUUGUACAUAAUUGCAGAUCACAACUUUAGAAGCAGAUGUUAGUGGAACACCACUCAUAUAAAAGAUAUGCAUUUCUUUAUCAAUGUGUUAAAAAUACAUGACAAAUGGAAAAACAGGAAAAAAAUUAAUGGAUUAAGCAUUUUGCUCUCAGCUUUUUGUUACAUCUCACCCUGCUUAAAUAAAAACACUAUAAACAAAACAUUAUUUUGAUAUUAAA
Hemicordylus capensis (graceful crag lizard) is the source of this 5026-nucleotide long non-coding RNA. RefSeq lists it as uncharacterized. The record is from RefSeq and is a predicted model, not a curated record. The transcript is spliced from 3 exons. NCBI's taxonomy places the organism in Eukaryota, Metazoa, Chordata, Lepidosauria, Squamata, Cordylidae.